This 457-nucleotide ribosomal RNA is filed under the name Euceros sp. CNC 422372. Its description in RNAcentral is "partial 28S ribosomal RNA". Lineage: Eukaryota; Metazoa; Arthropoda; Insecta; Hymenoptera; Ichneumonidae. The record is from RNAcentral.
CCUGAGAAACCCGAAAGAUCGAACGGGGAGAUUCAUCGUCAGCGAUUCUGGUACUUGUACGGUUCGCGAUACCACGGGGCUUCUGUCUCGUGGCACGCGUCCGUGCGAUUUUUUGCCGGUAUCGUCGGCGUGCACUUCUCCCCUGGUAGGACGUCGCGACCCGUUGGGUGUCGGUCUACGGCCCGGGUGGUAGCCUGUCUCGUGUGCGCCUCGCGGCGUUUACGCGGGUCAGACCCCCGGCUGCCCGACCCUGCUGCCCGGCGGUGUAAUUUACGGUAUCUAGUCGCACGUAUUCAAACUGCGUCCGGCCCGUUGCAAGCGAGGCAAGUGCUUUCCCGGAUGUUCGGAUCCAAUGCCGUCACUGGGCCUUGCCAGCUGUUGGUUGACGGUGUCCUAGGACUGACUAUUGCAAUUAUGAUACCGGUCGGCGAUGCUACUGCUUUGGGUACUUUCAGGA